CCUACGGGUGGCAGCAGUGGGGAAUAUUGCACAAUGGGGGAAACCCUGAUGCAGCGACGCCGCGUGAGUGAAGAAGUAUUUCGGUAUGUAAAGCUCUAUCAGCAGGGGAGAAAAUGACGGUACCUGACUCAGAAGCCCCGGCUAACUACGUGCCAGCAGCCGCGGUUAUACGUAGGGGGCAAGCGUUAUCCGGAUUUACUGGGUGUAAAGGGAGCGUAGACGGCCAGACAAGUCAGAAGUUAAAGCCCAGGGCUCAACCCUGGGACUGCUUUUGAAACUGUCGGGCUCGAGUGCAGGAGAGGUAAGCGGAAUUCCUAGUGUAGCGGUGAAAUGCGUAGAUAUUAGGAGGAACACCAGUGGCGAAGGCAGCUUACUGGACUGUAACUGACGUUGAGGCUCGAGAGCGUGGGGAGCAAACAGGAUUAGAUACCCUGGUAGUC
Molecule: ribosomal RNA, 440 nt
Filed under: uncultured bacterium
Lineage: Bacteria
Description: partial 16S ribosomal RNA
Rfam family: Bacterial small subunit ribosomal RNA
Source: RNAcentral